This 450-nucleotide ribosomal RNA is filed under the name uncultured beta proteobacterium. RNAcentral describes it as "bacterial SSU rRNA". It matches the Rfam family "Bacterial small subunit ribosomal RNA", at positions 45 to 490 of the family's 1533-position model. Lineage: Bacteria; Pseudomonadati; Pseudomonadota; Betaproteobacteria. The record is from RNAcentral.
GGCCUAACACAUGCAAGUCGAACGGCAGCACGGAGCUUGCUCUGGUGGCGAGUGGCGAACGGGUGAGUAAUAUAUCGGAACGUACCCUGGAGUGGGGGAUAACGUAGCGAAAGUUACGCUAAUACCGCAUACGAUCUACGGAUGAAAGUGGGGGAUCGCAAGACCUCAUGCUCGUGGAGCGGCCGAUAUCUGAUUAGCUAGUUGGUAGGGUAAAAGCCUACCAAGGCAUCGAUCAGUAGCUGGUCUGAGAGGACGACCAGCCACACUGGAACUGAGACACGGUCCAGACUCCUACGGGAGGCAGCAGUGGGGAAUUUUGGACAAUGGGCGCAAGCCUGAUCCAGCAAUGCCGCGUGAGUGAAGAAGGCCUUCGGGUUGUAAAGCUCUUUUGUCAGGGAAGAAACGGUGGAGGCUAAUAUCCUCUGCUAAUGACGGUACCUGAAGAAUAAG